GAUGAAGAACGCAGCGAAAUGCGAUAAGUAAUGUGAAUUGCAGAAUUCAGUGAAUCAUCGAAUCUUUGAACGCACAUUGCGCCCAUUAGUAUUCUAGUGGGCAUGCCUGUUCGAGCGUCAUUUCAACCCUUAAGCCUAGCUUAGUGUUGGGAGACUGCCUAAUACGCAGCUCCUCAAAACCAGUGGCGGAGUCUGUUCGUGCUCUGAGCGUAGUAAUUUUUUAUCUCGCUUCUGCAAGCCGGCCAGACGACAGCCAUAAACCGCACCCUCUCGGGGGGCACUUUUUUAAUGGUUGACCUCGGAUCAGGUAGGAAUACCCGCUGAACUUAAGCAUAUCAAUAAGCGGAGGA
Molecule: unclassified non-coding RNA, 350 nt
Filed under: soil metagenome
Description: partial contains 5.8S ribosomal RNA, internal transcribed spacer 2, and large subunit ribosomal RNA
Rfam family: 5.8S ribosomal RNA (bases 1-120)
Source: RNAcentral